CCUACGGGAGGCAGCAGUGGGGAAUAUUGGGCAAUGGAGGCAACUCUGACCCAGCAACGCCGCGUGAAGGAAGAAGGCCUUAGGGUUGUAAACUUAUGUUGUAAAGGAAGAAAAGAAUGACGGUACUUUACAAGAAAGUCCCGGCUAACUAUGUGCCAGCAGCCGCGGUAAGACAUAGGGGGCGAGCGUUGUUUGGAAUUACUGGGCGUAAAGGGAGCGUAGGCGGGAGUUCAAGUUAAGAGUGAAAGCCUUGGGCUCAACCCAAGAAAUGCUCUUAAUACUGGUAUUAUGGAGUGUGGGAGAGGUUAGUGGAAUUCCUGGUGUAGGAGUAAAAUGCGUAGAGAUCAGGAGGAACAUCAGAGGCGAAGGCGACUUACUGGAACAUAACUGACGCUGAGGAUCGAAAGCGUGGGGAGCAAACAGGAUUAGAUACCCCUGUAGUC
This 443-nucleotide ribosomal RNA is filed under the name uncultured bacterium. RNAcentral's name for it is "partial 16S ribosomal RNA". It matches the Rfam family "Bacterial small subunit ribosomal RNA", at positions 338 to 795 of the family's 1533-position model. The record is from RNAcentral.